GUAGGGGGCUAGCGUUGUCCGGAUUCAUUGGGCGUAAAGAGCGUGUAGGCGGUUCGAUAGGGUCCGGUGUGAAAACUCGAGGGCUCAACCUCGAGAGGUCGCCGGAAACCAUUGAGCUAGAGUCCGGAAGAGGAGAGUGGAAUUCCUGGUGUAGCGGUGAAAUGCGCAGAUAUCAGGAAGAACACCCAUGGCGAAGGCAGCUCUCUGGGACGGUACUGACGCUGAGACGCGAAAGCGUGGGGAGCGAACAGGAUUAGAUACCCUGGUAGUCCACGCCGUAAACGAUGGGCACUAGGUGUGGGUGGUGUCGACUCCAUCCGUGCCGAAGCUAACGCAUUAAGUGCCCCGCCUGGGGAGUACGGCCGCAAGGCUA
This 373-nucleotide ribosomal RNA is filed under the name uncultured organism. RNAcentral's name for it is "partial 16S ribosomal RNA". It matches the Rfam family "Bacterial small subunit ribosomal RNA", at positions 527 to 896 of the family's 1533-position model. The record is from RNAcentral.